UAUGGUCAUAUCAUGUUGAAACACCAGGUCCCAUACAAUCACUGAAGUUAAUCAAUGUUGAACCAUGUCAGUAUCCAGAUGUGUGACUGCUUGAGAAUACCAGGUGCUGUAA
Molecule: non-coding RNA, 112 nt
Organism: Acanthosepion pharaonis
Lineage: Eukaryota; Metazoa; Mollusca; Cephalopoda; Sepiida; Sepiidae
Source: the annotation of a GenBank genome assembly